GACGAACGCUGGCGGCGUGCUUAACACAUGCAAGUCGAACGCUGAAGCUUGGUGCUUGCACUGGGUGGAUGAGUGGCGAACGGGUGAGUAAUACGUGAGUAACCUGCCCUUUACUCUGGGAUAAGCCUGGGAAACUGGGUCUAAUACUGGAUACGACAUGCCACUGCAUGGUGGUGUGUGGAAAGGGUUUUACUGGUUUUGGAUGGGCUCACGGCCUAUCAGCUUGUUGGUGGGGUAAUGGCCUACCAAGGCGACGACGGGUAGCCGGCCUGAGAGGGUGAACGGCCACACUGGGACUGAGACACGGCCCAGCCUCCUACGGGAGGCAGCAGUGGGGAAUAUUGCACAAUGGGCGGAAGCCUGAUGCAGCGACGCCGCGUGAGGGAUGACGGCCUUCGGGUUGUAAACAUCAUUCAGCACGGAAGAAGCGAGAGUGACGGUACGUGCAGAAGAAGCGCCGGCUAACUACGUG
Molecule: ribosomal RNA, 472 nt
Filed under: uncultured bacterium
Lineage: Bacteria
Description: partial 16S ribosomal RNA
Rfam family: Bacterial small subunit ribosomal RNA
Source: RNAcentral